This 253-nucleotide ribosomal RNA is filed under the name uncultured bacterium. RNAcentral describes it as "partial 16S ribosomal RNA". It matches the Rfam family "Bacterial small subunit ribosomal RNA", at positions 524 to 776 of the family's 1533-position model. The record is from RNAcentral.
UACGAAGGUGGCAAGCGUUACUCGGAAUUACUAGGCGUAAAGGGCAGGUAGGUGGUUUGAUAAGUCUGUUGUGAAAGCUCCUGGCUUAACUGGGAGAGGCCAAUAGAAACUAUCAGACUUGAGUAUAGGAGAGGUUACUGGAAUUCCCGGAGUAGCGGUGAAAUGCGCAGAUAUCGGGAGGAACACCAAUGGCGAAAGCAGGUAACUGGACUAUUACUGACACUCAGCUGCGAAAGCUAGGGGAGCAAACAGG